This 486-nucleotide ribosomal RNA is filed under the name uncultured bacterium. Its description in RNAcentral is "bacterial SSU rRNA". It matches the Rfam family "Bacterial small subunit ribosomal RNA", at positions 29 to 507 of the family's 1533-position model. The record is from RNAcentral.
AUGAACGCUAGCGGCAGGCCUAACACAUGCAAGUCGAGGGGUAGCAGAAUUAAGCUUGCUUAAUUGCUGACGACCGGCGCACGGGUGCGUAACGCGUAUGCAACCUACCUUAUACUGGGGUAUAGCCCGGAGAAAUUCGGAUUAAUCCCCCAUAGUACUGUUUGAUCGCAUGGUCAGACAGUUAAAGCAUUGCGGUAUAAGAUGGGCAUGCGUCCUAUUAGCUAGAUGGUGAGGUAACGGCUCACCAUGGCUACGAUAGGUAGGGGGCCUGAGAGGGUGGUCCCCCACACUGGUACUGAGACACGGACCAGACUCCUACGGGAGGCAGCAGUGAGGAAUAUUGGUCAAUGGGCGCAAGCCUGAACCAGCCAUGCCGCGUGCAGGAAGAAUGCCCUAUGGGUUGUAAACUGCUUUUAUUUGGGAAUAAACCUCUUUACGUGUAGAGAGCUGAAGGUACCAAAUGAAUAAGCACCGGCUAACUCCGUG